RNAcentral lists this non-coding RNA (30 nucleotides) under Homo sapiens (human). Lineage: Eukaryota; Metazoa; Chordata; Mammalia; Primates; Hominidae. The record is from RNAcentral.
UCCAGCUGCUAAACUGUCCCUACCACGUGA